Molecule: signal recognition particle RNA, 97 nt
Filed under: Gammaproteobacteria bacterium
Lineage: Bacteria; Pseudomonadati; Pseudomonadota; Gammaproteobacteria
Description: signal recognition particle sRNA small type
Rfam family: Bacterial small signal recognition particle RNA
About the family: The signal recognition particle (SRP) is a universally conserved ribonucleoprotein involved in the co-translational targeting of proteins to membranes. Archaeal SRP consists of a 7S RNA and homologues of the eukaryotic SRP19 and SRP54 proteins.
Source: RNAcentral
CGUCGGUUCCCUCGCGACGGUCAGCCGUGAACCCCGCCAGACCCGGAAGGGAGCAACGGUAGCGGUGCUACCGGGUGCCGGGGUGUGGCUGGCGCGG